UAUUAUUAUUAUUAUUAUUAUUAAUAAUAAUAAUAAUAAUAAUAAUAACAGCUGUUGUAAAGUACAGAAGAGUACAAAUACGCAAUUGGCAAACUGAAUCCAUGAAGCAGAUUCAAUUCCCAGCUGAAGCCAUUUCACUUAUGUAUCAAAUAUUCUUGGGAAAUAGAUGAAGAUCACAAUAUCCUGUGUACUCUCCACUCCACCCCCUUACAAAUCUGAGGCCUUUUGCCAUGUUGUAUGACACCAUCAUUAUUAUGAUUAGUCUUCAGGCUGCUACUUAAUAAUAAUAAUACCUUGUGGUAUUCCAUCUCUUUACAUUCUGAGUUCAAAUCUCACCAAGGUCCACUUUGCUUCUUACCCUUUCAGGGUUGAUAAAAUAAAGUACCAGUCAAGUACUGGUAUCAACCAAUCCCACUACCAUUGAAAUUAGUGGUCACAUGCCUAAACCAGAAACAUAAUUAUUAUUAUUAUUGAAAAGAAGAAAUGAUUAACUUCUUCCAUCAUCUAGUAAUGUCUAUUGGAAAAGGCUUGAAGACCACAACUUUUCAUCACCUCUUUCCUAAGGCCAUAUAUCUUAUCAAGAAAUCACGAUCAUCAUCAUCGUCAUCACUGCCAUCAUUGUUAUCACUACCACUUCCGUCAUCAUCAUCAAAAGAAUUUAUUAUUAUUAAUUAAAACAAAAAAGAAAAAAAAAGUGUUGUGCCUGCUGAAUUCUAUUUCAAGAAAGGAAUGGUAAAUGUAUUCCAGAGAAACAAGCCGAAAUUGACUUUAAUAAUCUCUUUUGAAAAAAAAAAACGAAAUAAUUUCAGUGAUUCUUGAACAAAUAAAAAGCAUUAAAAAGAAAACCAAAAUAAACAAAAACAGCAACGGAACUUUGAGAAGAAAUAAAAGACUUCAAGGAAACAUUUGUGACAUUAAAACUGAAGAUAAUAUCAACAACACAUAAAAAAAAUAAACCUUUGUCUUUUA
Octopus sinensis (East Asian common octopus) is the source of this 969-nucleotide long non-coding RNA. RefSeq lists it as uncharacterized. The transcript is spliced from 2 exons. Lineage: Eukaryota; Metazoa; Mollusca; Cephalopoda; Octopoda; Octopodidae. The record is from RefSeq and is a predicted model, not a curated record.